RNAcentral lists this transfer RNA (76 nucleotides) under Metamycoplasma salivarium. Its description in RNAcentral is "tRNA-Glu(ttc)". It matches the Rfam family "tRNA". From Rfam's summary of the family: Transfer RNA (tRNA) molecules are approximately 80 nucleotides in length. Lineage: Bacteria; Bacillati; Mycoplasmatota; Mycoplasmoidales; Metamycoplasmataceae. The record is from RNAcentral.
GGCCCUAUGGUGAAGUGGUUAACACAUAUGGUUUUCAUCCAUACACGCGUGGGUUCGAGUCCCGCUAGGGUCACCA